Molecule: ribosomal RNA, 491 nt
Filed under: uncultured bacterium
Lineage: Bacteria
Description: partial 16S ribosomal RNA
Rfam family: Bacterial small subunit ribosomal RNA
Source: RNAcentral
AGUGAACGCUGGCGGUAGGCCUAACACAUGCAAGUCGAACGGCAGCACAGUAAGAGCUGGCUCUUACGGGUGCGGAGUGGCGGCGGGGGGGGGGGACCAUCGGAAUUUACUUUUUGGGGGGGGAUAACGUAGGGAAACUUACGCUAAUACGGAAUACGACCUACGGGUGAAAGAAGGGGAUCUUCGAACCUGGGCGGAUGGAAUGAGCGGAUGUCGGAUUAGCUAGUUGGCGGGGUAAAGGCCCACCAGGGCGACGAUCCGUAGCUGGUCUGAGAGGAUGAUCAGCCACACUGGAACUGAGACACGGUCCAGACUCCUACGGGAGGCAGCAGUGGGGAAUAUUGGACAAUGGGCGCAAGCCUGAUCCAGCCAUACCGCGUGGGUGAAGAAGGCCUUCGGGUUGUAAAGCCCUUUUGUUGGGAAAGAAAAGCAGCAGGUUAAUACCCCGCUGUUCUGACGGUACCCAAAGAAUAAGCACCGGCUAACUUCGU